Molecule: long non-coding RNA, 678 nt
Organism: Oncorhynchus kisutch (coho salmon)
Lineage: Eukaryota; Metazoa; Chordata; Actinopteri; Salmoniformes; Salmonidae
Exons: 3
Source: RefSeq, a predicted model, not a curated record
AAUUUUAUUCAGAAACAUAUUUCUGAAACCAGGUAAAAGAGGACUCAUGCCAAAGGCAUUUCCUCUAUUUGAUUCCACCAGGGAGAGAAGAGAACCAGCAAGCUACAACAGUGAGCAGAUUAAAGAUCCAAUUGCCAUCGCAGUAAAGGUUUGUUUGUAUACAGUAGUUGUCACAUCCAUCUGAGGGGAUGUCAGAGGUAGCCUUUCCGCCAUAAUCCACCGGAAUGCAGAGACUGUCCCUUGGGAGCCACACAGAGCAUGUUUCCAGGACAUGUCCAGGCCCAUCCCCCAUGACCAGCCAAGCGACGAAGCAAGACCCCAGGACCAACCGUGUGACAUCCUGAAGCAAGGCCCCAAAGACCAGCAGUGCGACAUCCUGAACCCUGAAGGUCACUGGAGCAACCCAUUUGAAAGAUCAUCCAGUCUGUCCUGAAGUUGUCAGGGGCCUCAUUUCUUAUUGUUGUAUACGCAUGAAAUAUGUCCCAAAAUGUGAGUGCGCCAGUUCAUGCAAAAGUUUGCUUUUAUAAAAACUGAACUUGACCUGAGAAUGUGCUUCUCCUCCCGCAAACUUUAGACCAUGUGUUUGCAGUUUCUAGUGGUUGAAGUAUUGCUUGGUAAGAAGGCAAAAGUAGCCUUGUCCUUGUGCAAAUUGGGAAUCUAUGAUGAUAAAAAUGUAAU